RNAcentral lists this transfer RNA (74 nucleotides) under Phycisphaerae bacterium. RNAcentral describes it as "tRNA-Arg". It matches the Rfam family "tRNA". Rfam says of the family: Transfer RNA (tRNA) molecules are approximately 80 nucleotides in length. Their secondary structure includes four short double-helical elements and three loops (D, anti-codon, and T loops). Lineage: Bacteria; Pseudomonadati; Planctomycetota; Phycisphaerae. The record is from RNAcentral.
GCCCCCGUAGCUCAGAUGGAUAGAGCAACGGAUUUCUAAUCCGUUGGUCGCUGGUUCGAGUCCAGCCGGGGGCG